This 1345-nucleotide ribosomal RNA is filed under the name uncultured bacterium. RNAcentral's name for it is "16S ribosomal RNA". It matches the Rfam family "Bacterial small subunit ribosomal RNA", at positions 28 to 1378 of the family's 1533-position model. The record is from RNAcentral.
GACGAACGCUGGCGGCGUGCUUAACACAUGCAAGUCGAACGGAAAGGCCCUGCUUUUGGGGGGUGCUCGAGUGGCGAACGGGUGAGUAACACGUGAGUAACCUGCCCUUGACUUUGGGAUAACUUCAGGAAACUGGGGCUAAUACCGGAUAGGAGCUCCUGCUGCAUGGUGGGGGUUGGAAAGUUUCGGCGGUUGGGGAUGGACUCGCGGCUUAUCAGCUUGUUGGUGGGGUAGUGGCUUACCAAGGCUUUGACGGGUAGCCGGCCUGAGAGGGUGACCGGCCACAUUGGGACUGAGAUACGGCCCAGACUCCUACGGGAGGCAGCAGUGGGGAAUAUUGCACAAUGGGCGGAAGCCUGAUGCAGCAACGCCGCGUGCGGGAUGACGGCCUUCGGGUUGUAAACCGCUUUCGCCUGUGACGAAGCGUGAGUGACGGUAAUGGGUAAAGAAGCACCGGCUAACUACGUGCCAGCAGCCGCGGUGAUACGUAGGGUGCGAGCGUUGUCCGGAUUUAUUGGGCGUAAAGGGCUCGUAGGUGGUUGAUCGCGUCGGAAGUGUAAUCUUGGGGCUUAACCCCUGAGCGUGCUUUCGAUACGGGUUGACUUGAGGAAGGUAGGGGGAAAUGGGAAUUCCUGGUGGAGCGGUGGAAUGCGCAGAUAUCAGGAGGAACACCAGUGGCGAAGGCGGUUCUCUGGGCCUUUCCUGACGCUGAGGAGCGAAAGCGUGGGGAGCGAACAGGCUUAGAUACCCUGGUAGUCCACGCUGUAAACGGUGGGUACUAGGUGUGGGGUCCAUUCCACGGGUUCCGUGCCGUAGCUAACGCUUUAAGUACCCCGCCUGGGGAGUACGGCCGCAAGGCUAAAACUCAAAGGAAUUGACGGGGCCCCGCACAAGCGGCGGAGCAUGCGGAUUAAUUCGAUGCAACGCGUAGAACCUUACCCGGGUUUGACAUGGAUCGGGAGUGCUCAGAGAUGGGUGUGCCUCUUUUGGGGUCGGUUCACAGGUGGUGCAUGCCUGUCGUCAGCUCGUGUCGUGAGAUGUUGGGUUGAGUCCCGCAACGAGCGCAACCCUUGUUCACUGUUGCCAGCACGUUAUGGUGGGGACUCAGUGGAGACCGCCGGGGUCAACUCGGAGGAAGGUGGGGAUGACGUCAAGUCAUCAUGCCCCUUAUGUCCAGGGCUUCACGCAUGCUACAAUGGCUGGUACAGAGAGUGGCGAGCCUGUGAGGGUGAGCGAAUCUCGGAAAGCCGGUCUCAGUUCGGAUUGGGGUCUGCAACUCGACCUCAUGAAGUCGGAGUCGCUAGUAAUCGCAGACCAGCAACGCUGCGGUGAAUACGUUCCCGGG